AAAUUAGAUAGAGGUUGCGUGGUUCAUAAGUAGUUUACUGGAUGUGGCAGGCACAGGGGAUAGUAAAUGAAAGGGGAGGGCGCCGAAAGAAUUUCUUUUCCUGAGGGGGGAUUCUUGGGCAUAUAGUGAACAAUUAUAUGACUGUCAUCUUGCGAUGGAUGGAGCGCUAUCAGAUUA
Molecule: non-coding RNA, 177 nt
Filed under: Lachnospiraceae bacterium A2
Lineage: Bacteria; Bacillati; Bacillota; Clostridia; Lachnospirales; Lachnospiraceae
Also listed under: 1 other name
Description: Lysine riboswitch aptamer
Rfam family: Lysine riboswitch aptamer
About the family: Riboswitches are metabolite binding domains within certain messenger RNAs that serve as precision sensors for their corresponding targets.
Source: Rfam by way of RNAcentral